Molecule: long non-coding RNA, 791 nt
Filed under: Homo sapiens (human)
Lineage: Eukaryota; Metazoa; Chordata; Mammalia; Primates; Hominidae
Description: HSALNT0091268
Source: RNAcentral
AAUGACUAGAAAGUGACUGCACUAGAAGCUUUGAAUGUUGGGUAACUGGGAAGGAUUAACUCGGUUCUGAUGUGCCCUUUGUUAAUGAAAAUCAAAUCUUUGCUAUUUGUCCAACCACCCUUAUAAUAACUAAAUUUGUCUAAAGACUGGAGACAUGUGUGGUAAUAAUUAGAUAUGGAGUCACCAAAGAACAGGGUAGCCAUGCCUUUGUGUUUUCUGUGCCUUAACUAACAUUCUGUUGUCCUAAUGUGCAAAUGAUACAUUGUUGGUUUUAAAAAAUAUUAUGGCAAUGUUUAUAUCCAUGCUGAGAGUUAAUAGCAGGUAUUGUGUCAUGAAGUGCAGCUAGUCAGUGAGAUAGUCCUGAUACAGGUGGGGUAAUUAUUAUUUAGGGACAAUUUGCGGCUGUUUUUCAAGACAGACUGGGUCUUUAGAAGUUGUGCCAGCUGUUACCGGUGGUUCUGCUUCAUUGGGAGAAUUAUUUCCCUCCUUAUCCCUGUGUACGUGUGAAAUGAUGCAAAACAAUAGAGUGUUCGUGUAGUUUGACUGCUUUUCUUGCAGGCAAGGAGACUGAAGUAAUUAGAGGUUGAACUGACUCACCAAGGUUACUGGAGAAGCAUGACUACCCAAUUUUGUAAAGGAGAGAAAAGCCCCAAACAAAUACAAAUAGGAAACAUGAAAAUACGAGAGAGGAUCAGAGCCCAAGAAAGCAAAAUGAGUAAUAUGGACCAGAAAUGGAAUCUCAUAUACUUGAACUAGUUGUAAUGGGAGGUAUACUUAAUGCGCUAGCCUUA